AACGAACGCUGGCGGCAUGCCUAACACAUGCAAGUCGAACGAGACCUUCGGGUCUAGUGGCGCACGGGUGCGUAACGCGUGGGAACCUGCCCUUAGGUUCGGAAUAACUCCCCGAAAGGGGUGCUAAUACCGGAUAAUGUCUUCGGACCAAAGAUUUAUCGCCUUUGGAUGGGCCCGCGUUGGAUUCGCUAGUUGGUAGGGUAAAAGCCUACCAAGGCGACGAUCCAUAGCUGGUCUGAGAGGAUGAUCAGCCGCACUGGGAAUGAGACACGGCCCAGACUCGUACGGGAGGCAGCAGUGGGGAAUAUUGGACAAGGGGCGAUAGCCUGAUCAAGCAAUGCCGCGGGAGUGAUGAAGGCCUUAGGGUUGUAAAGCUCUUUUACCCGGGAUGAUAAUGACAGUACCGGGAGAAUAAGCACCGGCUAACUACGUG
This 433-nucleotide ribosomal RNA is filed under the name uncultured bacterium. RNAcentral describes it as "partial 16S ribosomal RNA". It matches the Rfam family "Bacterial small subunit ribosomal RNA", at positions 29 to 507 of the family's 1533-position model. The record is from RNAcentral.